Molecule: ribosomal RNA, 253 nt
Filed under: uncultured bacterium
Lineage: Bacteria
Description: partial 16S ribosomal RNA
Rfam family: Bacterial small subunit ribosomal RNA
Source: RNAcentral
UACGUAGGGGGCUAGCGUUGUCCGGAAUCAUUGGGCGUAAAGCGCGUGUAGGCGGCCCGGUAAGUCCGCUGUGAAAGUCGGGGGCUCAACCCUCGAAAGCCGGUGGAUACUGCGGGGCUAGAGUGCGGAAGGGGCAACUGGAAUUCUCGGUGUAGCGGUGAAAUGCGUAGAUAUCGAGAGGAACACCUGCGGCGAAGGCGGGUUGCUGGGCCGACACUGACGCUGAUGCGCGAAAGCCAGGGGAGCGAACGGG